CGGUAAGGCCCUUCGGGGUACACGAGUGGCGAACGGGUGAGUAACACGUGGGUAAUCUGCCCUGCACAUCGGGAUAAGCCUGGGAAACUGGGUCUAAUACCGAAUAGGACCACAGAACACAUGUCCUGUGGUGGAAAGCUUUUGCGGUGUGGGAUGGGCCCGCGGCCUAUCAGCUUGUUGGUGGGGUGAUGGCCCACCAAGGCGACGACGGGUAGCCGGCCUGAGAGGGUGUCCGGCCACACUGGGACUGAGAUACGGCCCAGACUCCUACGGGAGGCAGCAGUGGGGAAUAUUGCACAAUGGGCGAAAGCCUGAUGCAGCGACGCCGCGUGGGGGAUGACGGCCUUCGGGUUGUAAACCUCUUUCACCAUCGACGAAGGUUCGGGUUUUCUCGGAUUGACGGUAGGUGGAGAAGAAGCACCGGCCAACUACGUGCCAGCAGCCGCGGUAAUACGUAGGGUGCGAGCGUUGUCCGGAAUUACUGGGCGUAAAGAGCUCGUAGGUGGUUUGUCGCGUUGUUCGUGAAAUCUCACGGCUUAACUGUGAGCGUGCGGGCGAUACGGGCAGACUUGAGUACUGCAGGGGAGACUGGAAUUCCUGGUGUAGCGGUGGAAUGCGCAGAUAUCAGGAGGAACACCGGUGGCGAAGGCGGGUCUCUGGGCAGUAACUGACGCUGAGGAGCGAAAGCGUGGGGAGCGAACAGGAUUAGAUACCCUGGUAGUCCACGCCGUAAACGGUGGGUACUAGGUGUGGGUUUCCUUCCUUGGGAUCCGUGCCGUAGCUAACGCAUUAAGUACCCCGCCUGGGGAGUACGGCCGCAAGGCUAAAACUCAAAGAAAUUGACGGGGGCCCGCACAAGCGGCGGAGCAUGUGGAUUAAUUCGAUGCAACGCGAAGAACCUUACCUGGGUUUGACAUGCACAGGACGCCGGCAGAGAUGUCGGUUCCCUUGUGGCCUGUGUGCAGGUGGUGCAUGGCUGUCGUCAGCUCGUGUCGUGAGAUGUUGGGUUAAGUCCCGCAACGAGCGCAACCCUUGUCUCAUGUUGCCAGCGGGUAAUGCCGGGGACUCGUGAGAGACUGCCGGGGUCAACUCGGAGGAAGGUGGGGAUGACGUCAAGUCAUCAUGCCCCUUAUGUCCAGGGCUUCACACAUGCUACAAUGGCCGGUACAAAGGGCUGCGAUGCCGCGAGGUUAAGCGAAUCCUUUUAAAGCCGGUCUCAGUUCGGAUCGGGGUCUGCAACUCGACCCCGUGAAGUCGGAGUCGCUAGUAAUCGCAGAUCAGCAACGCUGCGGUGAAUACGUUCCCGGGCCUUGUACACACCGCCCGUCACGUCAUGAAAGUCGGUAACACCCGAAGCCAGUGGCCUAACCCUUUGGGA
This 1378-nucleotide ribosomal RNA is filed under the name Mycobacterium gordonae. Its description in RNAcentral is "bacterial SSU rRNA". It matches the Rfam family "Bacterial small subunit ribosomal RNA". Lineage: Bacteria; Bacillati; Actinomycetota; Actinomycetes; Mycobacteriales; Mycobacteriaceae. The record is from RNAcentral.